This 467-nucleotide ribosomal RNA is filed under the name uncultured bacterium. Its description in RNAcentral is "partial 16S ribosomal RNA". It matches the Rfam family "Bacterial small subunit ribosomal RNA", at positions 28 to 507 of the family's 1533-position model. The record is from RNAcentral.
GAUGAACGCUGGCAGAAUGCUUAACACAUGCAAGUCGACCGGAAUUUGGGUGUUUGAUUUAGGGUUGGGUGGCGGACGGGUGAGUAACGCGUAAAUAACUUGCCUCACAGCUAGGGACAACAUUUGGAAACGAGUGCUAAUACCUAAUAUGAUUAUCAUAGGCCAUCCGAGAGUUAUGAAAGCUAUAAGCGCUGUGAGAGAGCUGUGCGUCACAUUAUCUAGUUGGAGAGGUAGCGGCUCACCAAGGCGAUGGUGGGUAGCCGCCCUGAGAGGGUGAGCGGCAAAAAGGGACCGGGGAAACGGCCAUUACUCCACCGGGGGGAAGAAGUGGGAAUUAUUGGCAAUUGGACCGAGCGUCUGAUACAGAAGUUCUGUGUGCAAGAUGAAGUUUUUCGGAAUGAAAAGUGCUUUCAGUUGGGGAGACAAAAAUGACGGUACCAACAGAAGAAGCGGCGGCUAACUACGUG